UGGAAUUUUCGGAUUUCAGCUCAGAGGAAGCCACGGUACAACUUUCUUCAGUCCUUCCAAAUUGGGUUCACCCGACACCAGCCGCCUCCACCAUGCUGCCCAAGUACGACCCAACAAGAUCAAAGCCAUGUACUUGAUGUGCACUGGAGGUGAGGUCAGCGCCAUCUGCCUGGGCCCCAAAAUUGUCCCCUUGAGUCUGUCUUCAAAAAAAGUUGGUGAUGACAUUGCCAAGGUAAUUGGUGACUGGAAAGGUCUGAGGAUUACAGUGAAACUGACCAUCCAGAACACAGAGGCCCAGGGUGAGGUGGUGCCCUCUGCCUCUGCCCUGAUCAAGAAGCCUCCAAGAGACAGAGAGAAGCCGAAGAACAUUAGACACAAUGGAAAUAUCACUUUCCACAAGAUCGUCCACAUUGCCAGAGAACUUUCUGGAACUAUUAAAGAGAUCCUGGGUACUGCACAGUCUGUGGGCUGCAAUGUGGAUGGCUGCCACCCUCAUGACAUCAAUGAUGACAUCAACAGUGGAAUGCCCAGCUAG
This is a non-coding RNA of Myodes glareolus (Bank vole), 535 nucleotides long. The record is from RefSeq and is a predicted model, not a curated record. Lineage: Eukaryota; Metazoa; Chordata; Mammalia; Rodentia; Cricetidae.